GAUGAACGCUGGCGGCGUGCUUAACACAUGCAAGUCGAACGGAAAGGCCCUGCUUUUGUGGGGUGCUCGAGUGGCGAACGGGUGAGUAACACGUGAGUAACCUGCCCUUGACUUUGGGAGAACUUCAGGAAACUGGGGCUAAUACCGGAUAGGAGCUCCUGCUGCAUGGUGGGGGUUGGAAAGUUUCGGCGGUUGGGGAUGGACUCGCGGCUUAUCAGCUUGUUGGUGGGGUAGUGGCUUACCAAGUCUUUGACGGGUAGCCGGCCUGAGGGGGUGACCGGCCACAUUGGGACUGAGAUACGGCCCAGAAUCCUACGGGGGGAAGCAGUGGGGAAUAUUGCACAAUGGGCGGAAGCCUGAUGCAGCAACGCCGCGUGCGGGAUGACGGCCUUCGGGUUGUAAACCGCUUUCGCCUGUGACGAAGAGUGAGUGACGGUAAUGGGUAAAGAAGCACCGGCUAACUACGUG
RNAcentral lists this ribosomal RNA (468 nucleotides) under uncultured bacterium. Its description in RNAcentral is "partial 16S ribosomal RNA". It matches the Rfam family "Bacterial small subunit ribosomal RNA", at positions 28 to 507 of the family's 1533-position model. The record is from RNAcentral.